UCUUGGUCAUUUAGAGGAAGUAAAAGUCGUAACAAGGUUUCCGUAGGUGAACCUGCGGAAGGAUCAUUCACAAACGAGUGUUUUAUGGCACUCUUUAAAAAUCCAUAUCCACCUUGUGUGCAAUGUUUGUUGGGAAAGUCUUUUCUUUCCCUUCAUAAAUAUCAACCUAUAUCUUUAACAACAUUCGUUUGAUAACAUAUUAUGAAUAUACUUAAUUCAAAAUAUAACUUUCAACAACGGAUCUCUUGGCUCUCGCAUCGAUGAAGAACGCAGCGAAAUGCGAUACGUAAUGUGAAUUGCAGAAUUCAGUGAAUCAUCGAAUCUUUGAACGCAUAUUGCGCUCUUUGGUAUUCCGAAGAGCAUGCUUGUUUGAGUAUCAGUAAACACCUCAACCUCUCUUUUUUGAUAAAAAAAAAAGGAGGGUGGACUUGAGCUAUCCCAACGACCUUCACCGGUAGGCGGGCGGCUUGAAAUGCAGGUGCAGCUGGACUUUUAUCUGAGCUAAAAGCAUAUCUAUUUAGUCCUCGUCAAACAGGAUUAUUACUUUUGCUGCAGCUAACAUAAAGGAUAAUCGUCCUCUUUGCUGACUGAUGCAGGAUUUUACGACACUUUAUGUGUAGCUCAACUCGAUCUCAAAUCAAGUAAGACUACCCGCUGAACUUAAGCAUAUCAAUAAGCGGAGGA
RNAcentral lists this ribosomal RNA (684 nucleotides) under uncultured fungus. RNAcentral describes it as "eukaryotic LSU rRNA". The stretch from base 226 to 379 matches the Rfam family "5.8S ribosomal RNA". Lineage: Eukaryota; Fungi. The record is from RNAcentral.